UACAGAGGUCUCAAGCGUUGUUCGGAUUCAUUGGGCGUAAAGGGUGUGUAGGUGGCGCGCUAAGUCGGGUGUGAAAUUUCGGAGCUUAACUCCGAAACUGCAUUCGAUACUGCGGUGCUUGAGGACUGGAGAGGAGACUGGAAUUUACGGUGUAGCAGUGAAAUGCGUAGAGAUCGUAAGGAAGACCAGUGGCGAAGGCGGGUCUCUGGACAGUUCCUGACACUGAGGCACGAAGGUCAGGGGAGCAAACGGG
Molecule: ribosomal RNA, 253 nt
Filed under: uncultured bacterium
Lineage: Bacteria
Description: partial 16S ribosomal RNA
Rfam family: Bacterial small subunit ribosomal RNA
Source: RNAcentral